UCUGUCAGGACAGAGAGAGAGAGAGAAUGUGUUGCAUGCCUUCUCCACAAGUAGGUUAGAGGUUGUGAAAGGGAGUAUCCACUGUCUCCACUGAAUCUCUUCUUCCACAGGUAUUUUCUGGGACACUGCACUAUACAACUUUAUUUGAUGGCAGAACAUUCAGAGGCUGUAAGCUUGACACAUGGCAAAAUGCUUCUGCUGUUUCUGAGUCUCGGUUUGGUCACUUCUAACGUCCAGUCAGGAAGACAAGACCACGUGCUCCACAUCUGAGACACAGCUGCAAAGAUUUGCGGUUUAGGACACUGUCGUCAACCCCCCCCCCCCUGCAUCUUUGUCCUUCCCUGGCCUGUGGCACCGCUGUUGGUUAUCUGUACCACCGCGGUAUUGACCACUCGCACGGCUGCAAGGGGUUAAUGUAAUGUGUGAAAAUCAAUCGGUUGUAGCAGGACAGAACCACAACCUGACAUGUAGAGUGGAUUACCGUAAUGCUGAUCAGAAGAAUACAGGAUGUAAAACUGAACGUGGGAAAUGACAGACCAGAGCCGCCACAAUAUGUAUCGUCAGGUCCCAUAUCGUCAUUAUCAUCACUGUUCUGGGUGUUCUACUGUUUCUCAUCACUUCUGAUUAUGGCAGAAGAUUGAUGGGUCGACUUCCUUGAGAAGAAUGCUGACAAGAGCCCUGAAGCUACCGGAGAUGCCCUAAACCUGGAGCCUGCAUAACAUUCAGUUCAUGGAGGAGACGUGUGUGUUAAUUAUUCUAUCCUUGUGGGGACAUAUCCUAAGUCCCCAUAAAGACAAAGGCUAUUUUAAGCUUAGGUUUAGGGUUACAAUUAGGGUUAGGAGUUAGGUUUGGGUUAG
Salvelinus namaycush (lake trout) is the source of this 857-nucleotide long non-coding RNA. RefSeq lists it as uncharacterized. The transcript is spliced from 5 exons. Lineage: Eukaryota; Metazoa; Chordata; Actinopteri; Salmoniformes; Salmonidae. The record is from RefSeq and is a predicted model, not a curated record.